Molecule: long non-coding RNA, 1117 nt
Organism: Astyanax mexicanus (Mexican tetra)
Lineage: Eukaryota; Metazoa; Chordata; Actinopteri; Characiformes; Acestrorhamphidae
Exons: 2
Source: RefSeq, a predicted model, not a curated record
AGAAAUAAUCAAUACUUGGUGGAAUAAUCCUGGUUUUUAAUCACAGUUUUUUUUCAUGCAUCUUGGCAUCAUGUUCUCCUCCACCAGUCUUACACACUGCUUUUGGAUAACUUUAUGCUGCUUUACUCCUGGUGCAAAAAUUCAAGCAGUUCAGUUUGGUGGUUUGAUGGUUUGUGAUCAUCCAUCUUCCUCUUGAUUAUAUUCCAGAGGUUUUCAAUUUGGGCAAAUCAAUUUUAAGUGGUCUCUUAUUUUUUCCAGAGCUGUAUAUGGAAAGAUAUGUCUCCAAUUCAUGGAAAUACGACUGUGAUCUUUAUGUCAAGCAGAGGGAAAAUGGACAACAGCAGUGAGUGAGGUGUUCAGUAGCAGGGAAAAAGCAGGGUAACACCCCUAAAUAAAUAUUUUGGCUGAUGUCUCUGUUCAUAUUAAAUUAGAAGGCCCAUUUCUGAACUGGUCAGGUGUAUUAAAUAAAAGGCCAGCUAAAAAACAUAUUCUCUGUAUACUGUAUACUGAACUGGAACGUGUUCUCACUGAAAGUGAUAAUCCCAGCUGUAGAUACUGGAACUGCUUGAUAGCUCCAGUAAUGCUGGAAAAGAUGAAACCGAAACUUCAUGUGAAGCUCUGCUCUUUAGUGUCAGUUGAGGAGAAACUGAGGAAAAUGAACCAAAGAAAAUCAAAUUUGGGUCACUUUUACCUGCUGUAUGAACAUAGCCUUAGUUUAUUCUACAAAAAAACAUACCCAUAUCUGUGCUUCUUUUAUUACUAAUUUUAUUUUUUUUUUGUUUUUUUUUUUCCAUCAUAAGCCAAAGCAUGGGUUAGAUUACUUUUCUUUCUUUUGUACACACCUGAAUAUAAGAUUACCUGUUGGAGUCACUUCUGAAAAUAAGGUUUUCAUCCUCACUGAUCUAAAAACUGCUGGGAUUAAAUGACAUUAAAGAUUAAAGAUAAAGAUGGUGGUGUUGAAGAAGUGGUGGAGUGAUGAGAUCCCUUUACUAAUGCUGCUGCAGAACCCCUGUGUGAAGCUUAUGUACAGACCUAAACCAGUAAAUAUUCCCUGAAAAUUGUUUUAUAUGUUUAUAUGAAAUACAAUUCAUAAUAAAAAGGGAGAGUAAUGUCUGGA